This is a long non-coding RNA of Formica exsecta, 868 nucleotides long. RefSeq lists it as uncharacterized. NCBI's taxonomy places the organism in Eukaryota, Metazoa, Arthropoda, Insecta, Hymenoptera, Formicidae. The transcript has 3 exons. The record is from RefSeq and is a predicted model, not a curated record.
CUUUAGUAUGUAUCAUGAUAUGAAGAAUGGUAACAUCUCCCUUGUUACGGUUGUUGCAAAUAUUUCUAACAAGAAACAGCUCAAAAGUCAUGAUUCGCGAGGACCGUGCUCACCAAAUCGUAUACGAGAAUCUGGGUGUUUUGUCUGCAACAGCAAAGUUGAAGGAUGCUUGAUAAAUAGACCUACCUAAUUUCUAACCUGUUUAUUUCGAUAUUCAUACAUUUGGAGAGCGUGGAAUAUCUCAUUAUGAUAAUAACAUAUAAUAACAUAAAUUAUUAUUUGAUUUAAUUUUAUCACAUGAAUACUUCUCGACUAGAGUUCCAUAUUCAACACUUUCUUCCAGAAAAAAAAUAGAGAGGAAAUAGAUACAGUAAAAGAUUGGAUGCUUACAAUUACGGGAUGUUUACGCGAUUCAAGAAGAAUUUUAGCAAAUAUCAAAUAUAAAUACUAUUGAUACAUCUGUGAAAACUAUAUAAUAAUAUAGAGUAAGUGUAAUAGUACAACAGAUUUUAUUUUAAAGAAAUUCUAUAUGUUCUAUAUUUAUAUAAAUAACACUUAUAAACAGAAAUAUAUUUUAAAACUAUAUUGUUUAUUGAUGAGGAUAUGAUUCAUAAUAUAUGCAAUCAAAGAUUUUACAAAUUUUAAAUUUGUUCAUUACAUCUUAAAAGAUGAAGAUUAUUAAAAGAAAAUUUUAAUAAAUUUGGCAUUAAAGUAAAACUAGUGCUAAAUAAAAAAUUAAUUAUGUGAGUUAUUAUACAAUAUUAAUUACUGUGUGCAUUAUGAAAACUGUAAAAAUAGUCGUUCAUUGAAAGUUCAUAGAAUACAAAAGCUUUCAAGAAGAAAAAAAUAUUUUUGAAGUAAUAUAAAA